Molecule: ribosomal RNA, 733 nt
Filed under: Bacillus amyloliquefaciens
Lineage: Bacteria; Bacillati; Bacillota; Bacilli; Caryophanales; Bacillaceae
Description: bacterial SSU rRNA
Rfam family: Bacterial small subunit ribosomal RNA
Source: RNAcentral
AAUGCAGUCGAGCGGAAGAUGGGAGCUUGCUCCCUGAUGUUAGCGGCGGACGGGUGAGUAACACGUGGGUAACCUGCCUGUAAGACUGGGAUAACUCCGGGAAACCGGGGCUAAUACCGGAUGGUUGUCUGAACCGCAUGGUUCAGACAUAAAAGGUGGCUUCGGCUACCACUUACAGAUGGACCCGCGGCGCAUUAGCUAGUUGGUGAGGUAACGGCUCACCAAGGCGACGAUGCGUAGCCGACCUGAGAGGGUGAUCGGCCACACUGGGACUGAGACACGGCCCAGACUCCUACGGGAGGCAGCAGUAGGGAAUCUUCCGCAAUGGACGAAAGUCUGACGGAGCAACGCCGCGUGAGUGAUGAAGGUUUUCGGAUCGUAAAGCUCUGUUGUUAGGGAAGAACAAGUGCCGUUCAAAUAGGGCGGCACCUUGACGGUACCUAACCAGAAAGCCACGGCUAACUACGUGCCAGCAGCCGCGGUAAUACGUAGGUGGCAAGCGUUGUCCGGAAUUAUUGGGCGUAAAGGGCUCGCAGGCGGUUUCUUAAGUCUGAUGUGAAAGCCCCCGGCUCAACCGGGGAGGGUCAUUGGAAACUGGGGAACUUGAGUGCAGAAGAGGAGAGUGGAAUUCCACGUGUAGCGGUGAAAUGCGUAGAGAUGUGGAGGAACACCAGUGGCGAAGGCGACUCUCUGGUCUGUAACUGACGCUGAGGAGCGAAAGCGUGGGCAGCCA